This 475-nucleotide long non-coding RNA is filed under the name Phascolarctos cinereus (koala). RNAcentral's name for it is "lncRNA (ENSPCIG00000031928.1)". The record is from RNAcentral. Lineage: Eukaryota; Metazoa; Chordata; Mammalia; Diprotodontia; Phascolarctidae.
UUUUUUGUGGCAUACUGGGAAGGUAACUAAAUAAAGGAGUCAGUUUGUGCUCAUCGUACAGCUACUAAUUUAUUGUUUGAAUUUGACCUCUCCUUACAUAAGUUCUGUCAUCUAUAAAAUGGGGAAUUUGGGUUAUCCCAGCCAGGGAAAUCCUUCCCUGGAUAACUUGUUCUGCUUCUCUUUGCCUUCCAUCACCUACUCACCUUUGACAUGAUAUAGUCACCCUGGCUGCAAGUGACCAUAUUCCAGCCAAGAUUACUAGCAAUGGGAAAGAAGGUUUGGAUUUCUUCUCAAGUUAAAAGAACAUCAGGUCGAGGGGUUGUUCCUGACUGGCACAACACCAAAUAAUAUCAAGCUUGCACCCUCUUCACCCCUACAUGCUCAAGCUAUUCCAUCCUGGGCUGAGUCACCCUCUCAUUCACUUUUGAGGUCAGUAAGCAUCAUACAUGGAAAGCUGUGAUCUGUGUCUACACAA